This 204-nucleotide long non-coding RNA is filed under the name Phoenix dactylifera (date palm). RNAcentral describes it as "long non-coding RNA (PDAC_LNC015890)". Lineage: Eukaryota; Viridiplantae; Streptophyta; Magnoliopsida; Arecales; Arecaceae. The record is from RNAcentral.
ACGCUCUUAUUAUCAUAAAAGAACUUUGAAGUCAUUAAGAAUUAAUGAUCCAACAUGAUGGUAUGUUUUUCAAGUAUAUAAGUUUUGAUCUUAUACUCUAAAAAAUUAAUUAAAUUGCUCUCAUGUUGAUAAAAUACUUAAUAUAUUGGGCAAAAGAUCUUAAAUGAACAAGCUUUCAUACUUAUUAUUGAAGAGAGGUUAGAU